CGGGCCUUGUACACACCGCCCGUCACGUCAUGAAAGUCGGUAACACCCGAAGCCGGUGGCUUAACCCCUUGUGGGAGGGAGCCGUCGAAGGUGGGAUCGGCGAUUGGGACGAAGUCGUAACAAGGUAGCCGUACCGGAAGGUGCGGCUGGAUCACCUCCUUUCUAAGGAG
This 170-nucleotide ribosomal RNA is filed under the name Rhodococcus qingshengii. RNAcentral's name for it is "partial 16S ribosomal RNA". It matches the Rfam family "Bacterial small subunit ribosomal RNA", at positions 1375 to 1533 of the family's 1533-position model. Lineage: Bacteria; Bacillati; Actinomycetota; Actinomycetes; Mycobacteriales; Nocardiaceae. The record is from RNAcentral.